Columba livia (rock pigeon) is the source of this 683-nucleotide long non-coding RNA. RefSeq lists it as uncharacterized. NCBI's taxonomy places the organism in Eukaryota, Metazoa, Chordata, Aves, Columbiformes, Columbidae. The transcript is spliced from 2 exons. The record is from RefSeq and is a predicted model, not a curated record.
UCCAGCUGCUGCUCCGACAGGCAGGCGUGCUCCUCCAGGAAGCGCUGCUUCAGCUUGCCCAGCUCCUGGCGCAGCAGGUCCUCGUAGGGCAGCUCCACCGAGGAGAACACCACGGCGCCGAACACCAGGUAGAGCAGGUUUUCAGAGGCGUCGUCUGGGGGGAACAACAGCAGAGCAGCACAUCUGCGUCACCAAAGUGUUCACGUUCUUGUUUCCAAAGCAAACGUCUGGACAGUUUGAGUUUUAGCUACCACUGUUUAUGUUCGUGUUUGAACUCAAAGCCCUUAACAUACCUGAUAAUUUAAUUACAGAAUUCAUUGAGAUAGAUGUGUAGAUAGGUGUCAUAAUGUUCAGUUUUCUGACUUCAAGUGAUCAUAUUUACCAUGACAAUAUUACACGUUAACGCAAUUGUGUCAUUCCAGUUUCCUUCUAAAGUAUGCUGUGUCUAUUUUCACAUUGUUUUGCUAGUUAAGCAGCAAGGCACUCACGGACUGAUUGUACUCAAUUAAGUGUUAUAUACUGUGUAACAGAAAGUCACAACAUGCUUCCACAAGGAGUGACUGAAAUUCUGAAGCAGGCUGUAACAAGAACAGUCUUUUUCAAGCAGAAGUUUCAUUCUGCUGUGAUCAUCCCUCUUAAUAAAACAUGAAUCCAGUUAAUAAAGCGUACCACAUUAUCACAUC